Molecule: long non-coding RNA, 786 nt
Organism: Ahaetulla prasina
Lineage: Eukaryota; Metazoa; Chordata; Lepidosauria; Squamata; Colubridae
Exons: 4
Source: RefSeq, a predicted model, not a curated record
UUUACAACUAGGCAAAGCUAAAUUAAAUAAUCCACCCGAAAGGAAGCUACCGUAAUUAUGUCGCUCGUUCGACCCAAAUCGCUUUUCGUUUGCAACAGUUGUGACUCCCCCAUGUCUUGAGGGGCCAAUAGAUCUCAGAUCCCAUUUUUGAAUACUUCCUUCUAGAAAACAGACAACAAACUUCCCUGCAAGUAGAAGGCAGCAUCUCUUGAAAUCUGUGCGCAGGAACGAUGACAGCUGUUGUGGUCCGCCAGCAGCCCACUGACCUGUCAACUGAGUCAGACAGUGAGGAGGCUGGGGAAGACAAUGGGCCAGUCCUGGAGUCAGGGGAAGGCCCGGAAGAGGGCUCUGCAUCGGAGGCAGAGAUGGGGCCAGGGCCAUCUGGGAGCGAUGCACGGACUCCGGAGCCUCCAGAGGCGAACAGCAGAGAGACAGAGGAACAGGAGGAGCUUGUUCCUAGUGCAUGCAUGUGAAGAGCUGCCAGAAGGCAAGAACAGCUGAAGAAAAAAGAACAACUCGGGAGUAAGGCCAGAAGAUGAUUGACCACUCCCAUAAGGCUUAAAAGAGCAGCAAUGAGCCGUUGGGUUCUUUGUAGGAAAGCAAUGUUAAUUUCCAUGCUUCUUGUCAGCAUCUCUUGAACUUUGUGGGGUUUUUGCCAAGAAAAGCCUUUGGCAGGUUGCCAAAGACAUCAAAGGUUGGUGAUAAGGCCGAUGGCCUGGUUAUUAAGAAUGUUGUUUUGGACGAAGCUCAGAGUGAAUUAAUUCUCAGCUGUUUUAAUAAAAUAAG